RNAcentral lists this ribosomal RNA (259 nucleotides) under uncultured bacterium. RNAcentral describes it as "partial 16S ribosomal RNA". It matches the Rfam family "Bacterial small subunit ribosomal RNA", at positions 333 to 606 of the family's 1533-position model. The record is from RNAcentral.
GGCAGCCUACGGGACGCAGCAGUGGGGAAUAUUGGGCAAUGGGCGCAAGCCUGACCCAGCAACGCCGCGUGAAGGAAGAAGGCUUUCGGGUUGUAAACUUCUUUUCUCAGGGACGAAGCAAGUGACGGUACCUGAGGAAUAAGCCACGGCUAACUACGUGCCAGCAGCCGCGGUAAUACGUAGGUGGCAAGCGUUAUCCGGAUUUGCUGGGUGUAAAGGGCGUGUAGGCGGGAAAGCAAGUCAGAUGUGAAAACCAUGG